Trifolium pratense (red clover) is the source of this 174-nucleotide long non-coding RNA. RefSeq lists it as uncharacterized. The transcript is spliced from 2 exons. Lineage: Eukaryota; Viridiplantae; Streptophyta; Magnoliopsida; Fabales; Fabaceae. The record is from RefSeq and is a predicted model, not a curated record.
GCAACAGCGACCACGGCAACCACGACGAGAUGCAGCAAAUGAGGGUUAUGGAGGAGGACCAAGUGAUAUGUCAUUAUUAACACAAUACGGAAAUCAUAGGGCGGUUCCGAUAUGGGAUGCAGAACCAGAUGAUCACGAGGUUUUAAAGAGGACUCUGCGUUGCCAAGCUAGCGG